Molecule: ribosomal RNA, 509 nt
Filed under: uncultured bacterium
Lineage: Bacteria
Description: partial 16S ribosomal RNA
Rfam family: Bacterial small subunit ribosomal RNA
Source: RNAcentral
GACGAACGCUGGCGGCGUGCUUAACACAUGCAAGUCGAACGGAAAGGCCCUGCUUUUGUGGGGUGCUCGAGUGGCGAACGGGUGAGUAACACGUGAGUAACCUGCCCUUGACUUUGGGAUAACUUCAGGAAACUGGGGCUAAUACCGGAUAGGAGCUCCUGCUGCAUGGUGGGGGUUGGAAAGUUUCGGCGGUUGGGGAUGGACUCGCGGCUUAUCAGCUUGUUGGUGGGGUAGUGGCUUACCAAGGCUUUGACGGGUAGCCGGCCUGAGAGGGUGACCGGCGACAGUUGGGCGGCGCGGCGGCCUAGGCUGAGACGAGGGGGAUAAGGGGGGAAUAUGGCACAGGGGCGGGGAGGUGGAGGCAGGAGCGCGGGGGGGGGGAGGGCGGGGUUCGGGUGAUACACCGGUUCCGACGGUGAGGAGGCGGGAGUGACGGAAAUGGGUAAAGAAGCACCGGCCAACGACGUGCCAGCUGCCGCGGUAAGCAUCGGAAGAGCAAACGUCUGACC